Colobus angolensis palliatus is the source of this 91-nucleotide microRNA precursor. The record is from Ensembl. Lineage: Eukaryota; Metazoa; Chordata; Mammalia; Primates; Cercopithecidae.
CGGUGUCUCCUGGCGGAACUGGCAUGGGGAGAGGUAGGGUCUUUCAGCCUCUCCAAAGCCCAUGGUCAGGUAAUCAGGUGGGGGAGCCCUG